CGGCGCCACAAGUGGUGAUCAUGUUUAUUGGGCCUAAAGCAUCCGUAGCCGGCGCUGUAAGUUUUCGGUUAAAUCUGUACGCUCAACGUACAGGCUGCCGGGAAUACUGCAGCGCUAGGGAGUGGGAGAGGUAGACGGUACUCGGUAGGAAGGGGUAAAAUCCUUUGAUCUAUUGAUGACCACCUGUGGCGAAGGCGGUCUACCAGAACACGUCCGACGGUGAGGGAUGAAAGCUGGGGGAGCAAACCGGAUUAGAUACCCGCGUAGUCC
Molecule: ribosomal RNA, 270 nt
Filed under: uncultured archaeon
Lineage: Archaea
Description: partial 16S ribosomal RNA
Rfam family: Archaeal small subunit ribosomal RNA
Source: RNAcentral